RNAcentral lists this ribosomal RNA (248 nucleotides) under uncultured Ruminococcus sp. RNAcentral describes it as "partial 16S ribosomal RNA". It matches the Rfam family "Bacterial small subunit ribosomal RNA", at positions 524 to 771 of the family's 1533-position model. The record is from RNAcentral. Lineage: Bacteria; Bacillati; Bacillota; Clostridia; Eubacteriales; Oscillospiraceae.
UACGUAGGGAGCGAGCGUUGUCCGGAUUUACUGGGUGUAAAGGGUGCGUAGGCGGCCCUGCAAGUCAGAAGUGAAAUCCAUGGGCUUAACCCAUGAACUGCUUUUGAAACUGUCAGGCUGGAGUGCAGGAGAGGAAAGCGGAAUUCCUAGUGUAGCGGUGAAAUGCGUAGAUAUUAGGAGGAACACCAGUGGCGAAGGCGGCUUGCUGGACGACAACUGACGCUGAGGCGCGAAAGCGUGGGGAGCAA